ACGGGUGUUAUUGUAGAUUCA
Molecule: microRNA, 21 nt
Filed under: Panagrellus redivivus
Lineage: Eukaryota; Metazoa; Nematoda; Chromadorea; Rhabditida; Panagrolaimidae
Description: prd-miR-7932-3p
Source: miRBase by way of RNAcentral